GACGAACGCUGGCGGCGUGCUUAACACAUGCAAGUCGAACGGAAAGGCCCUGCUCUGGGGGUGUGCGCGAGGGGCGAGCGGGUGUGUAACACGUGUGUAACCUGCCCUUGACUUUGGGAUAACUUCAGGAAACUGGGGCUAUUACCGGAUAGGAGCUCCUGCUGCAUGGUGGGGGUUGGAGAGUUUCGGCGGUUGGGGUUGGACGCGCGGCUUAUAGGCUUGUUGGGGGGGUAGUGGCUUACCAAGGCUUUGACGGGUGGCCGGCUUGAGAGGGUGACGGGCCCCAUUGGGACUGUGUUACGGCCCGGCCUCCUACGGGAGGCAGCGGGGGGAAUUUUUGCCCAUGGGGGGGAGCCCGAUUCAGGCACCGCCGGGGGCGGGAUGCCGGCUUUCGGGUUGUAACCCGCUUUGGCCUGGGCCGAGGCGUGUGUGACGGUAAUGGGUAAAGAAGCACCGGCUAACUACGUG
Molecule: ribosomal RNA, 468 nt
Filed under: uncultured bacterium
Lineage: Bacteria
Description: partial 16S ribosomal RNA
Rfam family: Bacterial small subunit ribosomal RNA
Source: RNAcentral